CUUAAGUCCACCCAGCAUAGAAACCUCACUGAUGUGAACACAGAUAGCACUGACAGAUUGACAGCUCUUUCUUAUUUCUAUGGGUGGAAAUGCAUGGCUAUUCUUAGGUGGUGGAGCAAUUUGUCUGGUUAAUUCCACUAAUGAAUGAGAUUCUGGCAUGCUAACCCCAAAUAGUCAGUGUUCCCUAACUUCCUAGAGGGACAAGUUUAUGGGGGUGUUUCAUUGCUCUGAGAAUUUACAGGAUG
RNAcentral lists this non-coding RNA (245 nucleotides) under Cricetulus griseus (Chinese hamster). Its description in RNAcentral is "Eukaryotic small subunit ribosomal RNA". It matches the Rfam family "Eukaryotic small subunit ribosomal RNA", at positions 1189 to 1443 of the family's 1831-position model. Lineage: Eukaryota; Metazoa; Chordata; Mammalia; Rodentia; Cricetidae. The record is from Rfam by way of RNAcentral.